Molecule: long non-coding RNA, 519 nt
Filed under: Homo sapiens (human)
Lineage: Eukaryota; Metazoa; Chordata; Mammalia; Primates; Hominidae
Description: non-protein coding lnc-LYG1-1:1
Source: RNAcentral
AAGAAUAAAUAUCUUGAUCACUGACACAUGCUGUACAAAUAAAAUUAGGAAGUCAACUCUUUCCAUCAUGAGUAACAGAACUCAAUCGAAUGUGACACACAGAAAUGUCUCAAAAAUCUCUAGGAAAAAUGUUAACAAAAGAAAACAAAAAAAAGAAAAAUGUUCAUUCAACACUAACAGAAUGGAAACGCAGUUCAAGCGUCACGGCUGAGCGAGAGCACAGCUGUCUCAUUUCCAGUCUGGCGCACUGGACCGUGAAUACUGAAGCACGCUCCUGAGAAAGUCCGGCCACGACAGCCUGCGCACUAAGAAACUGCAACUCCCACAAUGCUUUGCGGCCUUCCAGUUCGGCCGUGUACCCGGAGGAAAGCAAGGGUCGGACACCUUGGGUUCCGGGCUGCUGGGCGGGAGGCGCACGCGCAGAACUGUUCGCCACCCGACCGCCCGCCCCUUCCUCUGGCGUCCAAGGUGAUAUCGCGCGAGGUUCGCAGCCAAUAAGGAGGCGGAUGUGACGGCCCG